RNAcentral lists this transfer RNA (65 nucleotides) under Colias eurytheme (orange sulphur). RNAcentral describes it as "tRNA-Gly". RNAcentral also lists the same sequence under 63 other names. The record is from RNAcentral. Lineage: Eukaryota; Metazoa; Arthropoda; Insecta; Lepidoptera; Pieridae.
AUUUAUAUAAUAUAUAUAGUAUAUUUGACUUCCAAUCAAAAAGUUUAAUAAUUUUAAUAUAAAUA